RNAcentral lists this long non-coding RNA (724 nucleotides) under Homo sapiens (human). RNAcentral's name for it is "HSALNT0094698". The record is from RNAcentral. Lineage: Eukaryota; Metazoa; Chordata; Mammalia; Primates; Hominidae.
GUAGAGAUGGGGUUUCACCAUGUUGGCCACACUGGUCUUGAACUCCUGACUUCAGGUGAUCCGCCCAUCUCGGCCUCCCAAAGUGCUGGGAUUACAGGUAUGAGACACCGCGCCUGGCAAUUGCUUUUUUUUUUUAAGCGAUUCUGCAUUAAAGAAAAGCUGGUUUCGGCCAGGUGCCGUGGCUCACGCCUGUAAUCCCAACACUUUGGGAGGCUGAGCUACCGCACCCGGCCAAUUAUUCAUAUUUACAUAUAAAGAAGAUGACGAAAUAGUUAUCACUUAUCUAACUAAGCUACUGUGACUCCCAAUAAAGCCAAAUUAACUUCUGAUCUUGUUUCCUUUUUCUUUUUCUUUUUCUUUUUGAGACAGAGUUUCACUCUUGUUGCCAAGGCUGGAGUGCAAUGGCACCAUCUUGGCUCACCGCAACCUCCGCCUCCCAGAUUCAAGUGAUUCUCCUGCCUCAGCCUCCCGAGUAGCUGGGAUUACAGGCAUGCGCCACCAUGCCCGGCUAAUUUUUUGUAUUUUUAGUAGAGAAGGGGUUUCACCAUGUUGGCCAGGCUGGUCUCAAACUCCUCAAACUUCAGGUGAUCCACCUGCCUCGGCCUCCCAAAGUGCUGGGAUUACAGGUGUGAUUUACCGUGCCUGGCCAUUAACUUCUGAUCUUAACCUUUGCUUCAAAAAAGAAUGCAAUAGGCCACCACAGUGGCUCACGCCUGUAAUUCCA